UGCUAGAUGUCCACCAGCGUAGACGGGUGAGUAACGCAUAGGAAUCUGCCCGAUAGUGGGGGAUAACCUGGGGAAACCCAGGCUAAUGCGGCAUACGUCCUACGGGAGAAAGGGGGCUCCGGCUCCCGCUAUUGGAUGAGCCUAUGUCGGAUUAGCUAGUUGGUGAGGUAAAGGCUCACCAAGGCUGCGAUCCGUAGCUGGUCUGAGAGGAUGAUCAGCCACAUCGGGACUGAGACACGGCCCGAGCUCCUACGGGAGGCAGCAGUGGGGAAUAUUGGACAAUGGGGGGAACCCUGAUCCAGCCAUGCCGCGUGUGUGAAGAAGGCCCUCGGGUUGUAGAGCACUUUCAGCGAGGAAGAACGCCUGGUGGUUAAUACCCACCAGGAAAGACAUCACUCGCAGAAGAAGCACCGGCUAACUCCGUGCCAGCAGCCGCGGUAAUACCGGAGGGUGCAAGCGUUGAUCGGAAUUACUGGGCGUAAAGCGCGCGUAGGUGGCUUGAUAAGCCGGCUGUGAAAGCCCCGGGCUCAACACUGGGAACGGAAUCCGGAACUGUCAGGCUAGAGUGCAGGAGAGGAAGGUAGAAUUCCCGGUGUAGCGGUGAAAUGCGUAGAGAU
This 617-nucleotide ribosomal RNA is filed under the name uncultured bacterium. Its description in RNAcentral is "bacterial SSU rRNA". It matches the Rfam family "Bacterial small subunit ribosomal RNA", at positions 78 to 697 of the family's 1533-position model. The record is from RNAcentral.